Molecule: unclassified non-coding RNA, 205 nt
Filed under: Candolleomyces candolleanus
Lineage: Eukaryota; Fungi; Basidiomycota; Agaricomycetes; Agaricales; Psathyrellaceae
Description: partial internal transcribed spacer 2
Source: RNAcentral
AAUUCUCAACCUCACCAGUUUUGUAACGAGACCGGUGAAGGCUUGGAUGUGGGGGUUUUGCAGGCUGCCUCAGUGCUGGUCUGCUCCCCUGAAAUGCAUUAGCGAGCUCAUAUUGAGCUUCCGUCUAUUGGUGUGAUAAUUAUCUACGCCGUGGAUUGGACUCAUGCUUGCUUCUAACCGUCCGCAAGGACAAUUUACUUGACCA